GAUGAACGCUGGCGGCGUGCCUAAUACAUGCAAGUCGAGCGAACAGACGAGGAGCUUGCUCCUCUGACGUUAGCGGCGGACGGGUGAGUAACACGUGGAUAACCUACCUAUAAGACUGGGAUAACUUCGGGAAACCGGAGCUAAUACCGGAUAAUAUAUUGAACCGCAUGGUUCAAUAGUGAAAGACGGUUUUGCUGUCACUUAUAGAUGGAUCCGCGCCGCAUUAGCUAGUUGGUAAGGUAACGGCUUACCAAGGCAACGAUGCGUAGCCGACCUGAGAGGGUGAUCGGCCACACUGGAACUGGGACACGGUCCAGACUCCUACGGGAGGCAGCAGUAGGGAAUCUUCCGCAAUGGGCGAAAGCCUGACGGAGCAACGCCGCGUGAGUGAUGAAGGUCUUCGGAUCGUAAAACUCUGUUAUUAGGGAAGAACAAAUGUGUAAGUAACUAUGCACGUCUUGACGGUACCUAAUCAGAAAGCAACGGCUAACUACGUG
Molecule: ribosomal RNA, 497 nt
Filed under: uncultured bacterium
Lineage: Bacteria
Description: partial 16S ribosomal RNA
Rfam family: Bacterial small subunit ribosomal RNA
Source: RNAcentral